Molecule: ribosomal RNA, 1126 nt
Filed under: Klebsiella pneumoniae
Lineage: Bacteria; Pseudomonadati; Pseudomonadota; Gammaproteobacteria; Enterobacterales; Enterobacteriaceae
Description: bacterial SSU rRNA
Rfam family: Bacterial small subunit ribosomal RNA
Source: RNAcentral
AAAUUGAAGAGUUUGAUCAUGGCUCAGAUUGAACGCUGGCGGCAGGCCUAACACAUGCAAGUCGAGCGGUAGCACAGAGAGCUUGCUCUCGGGUGACGAGCGGCGGACGGGUGAGUAAUGUCUGGGAAACUGCCUGAUGGAGGGGGAUAACUACUGGAAACGGUAGCUAAUACCGCAUAACGUCGCAAGACCAAAGUGGGGGACCUUCGGGCCUCAUGCCAUCAGAUGUGCCCAGAUGGGAUUAGCUAGUAGGUGGGGUAACGGCUCACCUAGGCGACGAUCCCUAGCUGGUCUGAGAGGAUGACCAGCCACACUGGAACUGAGACACGGUCCAGACUCCUACGGGAGGCAGCAGUGGGGAAUAUUGCACAAUGGGCGCAAGCCUGAUGCAGCCAUGCCGCGUGUGUGAAGAAGGCCUUCGGGUUGUAAAGCACUUUCAGCGGGGAGGAAGGCGGUGAGGUUAAUAACCUCAUCGAUUGACGUUACCCGCAGAAGAAGCACCGGCUAACUCCGUGCCAGCAGCCGCGGUAAUACGGAGGGUGCAAGCGUUAAUCGGAAUUACUGGGCGUAAAGCGCACGCAGGCGGUCUGUCAAGUCGGAUGUGAAAUCCCCGGGCUCAACCUGGGAACUGCAUUCGAAACUGGCAGGCUAGAGUCUUGUAGAGGGGGGUAGAAUUCCAGGUGUAGCGGUGAAAUGCGUAGAGAUCUGGAGGAAUACCGGUGGCGAAGGCGGCCCCCUGGACAAAGACUGACGCUCAGGUGCGAAAGCGUGGGGAGCAAACAGGAUUAGAUACCCUGGUAGUCCACGCCGUAAACGAUGUCGAUUUGGAGGUUGUGCCCUUGAGGCGUGGCUUCCGGAGCUAACGCGUUAAAUCGACCGCCUGGGGAGUACGGCCGCAAGGUUAAAACUCAAAUGAAUUGACGGGGGCCCGCACAAGCGGUGGAGCAUGUGGUUUAAUUCGAUGCAACGCGAAGAACCUUACCUGGUCUUGACAUCCACAGAACUUUCCAGAGAUGGAUUGGUGCCUUCGGGAACUGUGAGACAGGUGCUGCAUGGCUGUCGUCAGCUCGUGUUGUGAAAUGUUGGGUUAAGUCCCGCAACGAGCGCAACCCUUAUCCUUUGUUGC